GUGAUGAUGGUGGUGAUGGUGGUGAUGAUGGUGGUGGUGAUGGUGAUGGUGGUGAUGAUGGUGGUGGUGAUGGUGAUGGUGGUGAUGAUGAUGGUGGUGGUGAUGGUGAUGAUGGUGAUGGUGGUGAUGGUGGUGAUGGUGAUGAUGGUGGUGGUGAUGGUGAUGAUGGUGGUGAUGGUGAUGAUGGUGAUGGUGAUGAUGGUGGUGGUGAUG
Molecule: non-coding RNA, 213 nt
Organism: Paramuricea clavata
Lineage: Eukaryota; Metazoa; Cnidaria; Anthozoa; Malacalcyonacea; Plexauridae
Source: the annotation of a GenBank genome assembly